This is a long non-coding RNA of Gasterosteus aculeatus aculeatus (three-spined stickleback), 1451 nucleotides long. The record is from Ensembl. NCBI's taxonomy places the organism in Eukaryota, Metazoa, Chordata, Actinopteri, Perciformes, Gasterosteidae.
CGACGGAGCGGGGACGCGACGCACAUCGGACUGACUUGUGUCCUCCACCCUGACGCAGGAGGAGAGGCUGCCCUGCUUCCCCUCUCAGUGCCUCCUCAUUAUAGCUCCUGCCCAAAGCCCCAUUUAAAAAGUUUUAAAAGAAAGAGAAAAACAAUCUCAGAGAGCUCGAACGACGACGUGCCCGUACCAUGGAGAGAAACAAUGAAAAGAGGAACAGGAGCAAAUAUGGAGAAGAGGUGUGUGCCUGGGUGAACCCUGCCCAUUGGAGCCUCCAGGUGUGCGCCACAGGGACAUAAAGAACAAACAGGGAACUAAUGAUUUGGAUAUUUUAGAACCGCACAUAGCGAGCGAGACAACGACGGACCGACCGACCUUCCUCCACCUCGUCCUCUUCCCUAACCCGAGACAGGACUUGAUUGUGAGAGGAGAGGGGGAACUAACACGCAGGAGGAGGCAGUGGGACAAACUGGUUCGACUGGGACACACCCGGCACACAGUCAUCAAAUCCCAGUGUGGGAAGAUAAAAAGGAGAAAAGGACAACAAGAGUGCAGCCUCUAAACUGUCGGACUGCGAGGAAACUACCGACAGGGGGACUCACAAAACGUCCGAUAGUAGUUGGUGUGAGUGUGUAUGAAUGUAGUGAAUUGAAUAUUGUUGGCAAAUAUUUGUGUUAAAAAAGUAGCUCCAAAUGGGAGACGGCAAGAUGAUACGCGUUUAUUAAAUUGUACUUGUAUAUAUAAUAUUAAAAGUGCAACCAGUGCUGGAAAAAGUUUAUUUAUUAAGAUUAUUUAGUGACAGACUGCAUUGUUGUAAAUACAUUUACAUACAAACAUCAUCAUAGAUGCUCCGAGAUUUGUGUAAUUAAUUUCACCCGGUUUGCAAUUGUUAAACAACAGCUGCUCCUUCCUCUCCCUCGGUCACGUUGCCUUCGAUCCUCUCCACUUGUGUCAAAAAAUGCGAGCAGCUGGACGACGGCCGUCCGCGCGUGGACACAUUUUUAUACUCUGGUCCCUCUGCUGAGCACACGACAGGCUUUUGUUUGUGCCAGAGAGCAUCCGUGUGUCCCAAUUUUAUGUUUAGUUUGUCUCAGUAUGAGAGCGAGAGUUGCGUUUGUGUGUGUGGGGGGGGGGGGGAUCUCCUUCUGGUUCGUCCUGCUGAGGAGAAAUGAGGUCGAUGUGAAACAGCCUGCCUGGCUCAUUUAUGUGCAUAAAGAUGUUAAACAAGUUCAUUAAAGCUUUGGGAAAAUCCACAUGCCUGUCAAAGUGUUUGUGUUACGCACACGUCACAUAUCACGAUGCGGUGUCUUGGUCGGGGGGGCGCUACUAUCGCGAGAGUCUUGUAAAAUAAAGAAGACGCGAAAGUUGGAUUGGGGAUUGUAGUUUUUCCCGUUUGGGGAGCCUGAACUCGACUGUGUUGCCACAUGAGGCAAAUGCGGACGUAUUCAUGUAAC